This 450-nucleotide ribosomal RNA is filed under the name uncultured bacterium. RNAcentral's name for it is "partial 16S ribosomal RNA". It matches the Rfam family "Bacterial small subunit ribosomal RNA", at positions 354 to 796 of the family's 1533-position model. The record is from RNAcentral.
GUGGGGAAUAUUGGACAAUGGGCGAAAGCCUGAUCCAGCCAUGCCGCGUGUGUGAAGAAGGUCUUCGGAUUGUAAAGCACUUUAAGUUGGGAGGAAGGGCAGUAAGUUAAUACCUUGCUGUUUUGACGUUACCGACAGAAUAAGCACCGGCUAACUUCGUGCCAGCAGCCGCGGUAAUACGAAGGGUGCAAGCGUUAAUCGGAAUUACUGGGCGUAAAGCGCGCGUAGGUGGUUUUGUAAGUUGGAGGUGAAAUCCCCGGGCUCAACCUGGGAACUGCCUCCAAAACUACUGAGCUAGAGUACGGUAGAGGGUAGUGGAAUUUCCUGUGUAGCGGUGAAAUGCGUAGAUAUAGGAAGGAACACCAGUGGCGAAGGCGACUGCCUGGACUGAUACUGACACUGAGGUGCGAAAGCGUGGGUAGCGAACAGGAUUAGAUACCCCUGUAGUCC